GGCCUCGUAGCUCAGCUGGCAGAGCGUGCGCGUACAAAGCGUAGGUGGCCUCCAUACGCGAGUUCGAAUCCCACCGAGGCUA
RNAcentral lists this transfer RNA (82 nucleotides) under Echinostoma caproni. It matches the Rfam family "tRNA". Rfam says of the family: Transfer RNA (tRNA) molecules are approximately 80 nucleotides in length. Lineage: Eukaryota; Metazoa; Platyhelminthes; Trematoda; Plagiorchiida; Echinostomatidae. The record is from Rfam by way of RNAcentral.